Molecule: ribosomal RNA, 429 nt
Filed under: Bacillota bacterium
Lineage: Bacteria; Bacillati; Bacillota
Description: Firmicutes bacterium partial 16S ribosomal RNA
Rfam family: Bacterial small subunit ribosomal RNA
Source: RNAcentral
UAGGGAAUCUUCGGCAAUGGACGGAAGUCUGACCGAGCAACGCCGCGUGAGUGAAGAAGGUUUUCGGAUCGUAAAGCUCUGUUGUUAGAGAAGAACGUUGGUAGGAGUGGAAAAUCUACCAAGUGACGGUAACUAACCAGAAAGGGACGGCUAACUAGGUGCCAGCAGCCGCGGUAAGACGUAGGUCCCGAGCGUUGUCCGGAUUUAUUGGGCGUAAAGCGAGCGCAGGCGGGUCUUUAAGUCUGAAGUUAAAGGCAGUGGCUUAACCAUUGUACGCUUUGGAAACUGGAGGACUUGAGUGCGGAAGGGGAGAGUGGAAUUCCAUGUGUAGCGGUGAAAUGCGUAGAUAUAUGGAGGAACACCGGUGGCGAAAGCGGCUCUCUGGUCUGUAACUGACGCUGAGGCUCGAAAGCGUGGGGAGCAAACAGG